RNAcentral lists this ribosomal RNA (253 nucleotides) under uncultured bacterium. Its description in RNAcentral is "partial 16S ribosomal RNA". It matches the Rfam family "Bacterial small subunit ribosomal RNA", at positions 524 to 776 of the family's 1533-position model. The record is from RNAcentral.
UACAGAGACUGCAAGCGUUGUUCGGAUUCAUUGGGCGUAAAGGGUGCGCAGGCGGUCGGGCAAGUCGGAUGUGAAAUCCCGCAGCUUAACUGCGGAAGGUCAUUCGAAACUGCCCGGCUUGAGAACUGGAGAGGAGACUGGAAUUGUCGGUGUAGCGGUGAAAUGCGUAGAGAUCGACAAGAACACCGGUGGCGAAGGCGGGUCUCUGGACAGUUUCUGACGCUCAGGCACGAAAGCCAGGGGAGCAAACGGG